CUCGUAGGUGGCCAACUAAGUCAGACGUGAAAUCCCCAGGCUUAACCUGGGAACUGCGUCUGAUACUGGAUGGCUUGAAUUCGGGAGAGGGAUGCAGAAUUCCAGGUGUAGCGGUGAAAUGCGUAGAUAUCUGGAGGAAUACCGGUGGCGAAGGCGGCAUCCUGGACCGAGAUUGACACUGAGGAAGCGAAAAGCUAGGGGAAGCAAAC
RNAcentral lists this ribosomal RNA (209 nucleotides) under uncultured bacterium. Its description in RNAcentral is "partial 16S ribosomal RNA". It matches the Rfam family "Bacterial small subunit ribosomal RNA", at positions 568 to 773 of the family's 1533-position model. The record is from RNAcentral.